CCUACGGGCGGCAGCAGUGAGGAAUAUUGGUCAAUGGCCGCGAGGCUGAACCAGCCAAGUCGCGUGAGGGAAGAAUGUCCUAUGGAUUGUAAACCUCUUUUGUCAGGGAGCAAAGUCACCCACGUGUGGGUUUUGGAGAGUACCUGACGAAAAAGCAUCGGCUAACUCCGUGCCAGCAGCCGCGGUAAUACGGAGGAUGCGAGCGUUAUCCGGUUUUAUUGGGUUUAAAGGGUGCGUAGGCGGGUUAUCAAGUCAGCGGUAAAAUUGUGGGGCUCAACUCCAUCCAGCCGUUGAAACUGAUGAUCUUGAGUGGGCGAGAAGUAUGCGGAAUGCGUGGUGUAGCGGUGAAAUGCAUAGAUAUCACGCAGAACUCCGAUUGCGAAGGCAGCAUACCGGCGCCCGACUGACGCUGAAGCACGAAAGCGUGGGUAUCGAACAGGAUUAGAUACCCCUGUAGUC
Molecule: ribosomal RNA, 459 nt
Filed under: uncultured bacterium
Lineage: Bacteria
Description: partial 16S ribosomal RNA
Rfam family: Bacterial small subunit ribosomal RNA
Source: RNAcentral